GUGGGGAAUAUUGGACAAUGGGGGGAACCCUGAUCCAGCCAUGCCGCGUGUGUGAAGAAGGCCUUUUGGUUGUAAAGCACUUUAAGCGAGGAGGAGGCUACCGAGAUUAAUACUCUUGGAUAGUGGACGUUACUCGCAGAAUAAGCACCGGCUAACUCUGUGCCAGCAGCCGCGGUAAUACAGAGGGUGCAAGCGUUAAUCGGAUUUACUGGGCGUAAAGCGCGCGUAGGUGGCCAAUUAAGUCAAAUGUGAAAUCCCCGAGCUUAACUUGGGAAUUGCAUUCGAUACUGGUUGGCUAGAGUAUGGGAGAGGAUGGUAGAAUUCCAGGUGUAGCGGUGAAAUGCGUAGAGAUCUGGAGGAAUACCGAUGGCGAAGGCAGCCAUCUGGGAUAACACUGACGCUCAUGCACGAAAGCGUGGGGAGCAAACAGGAUUAGAUACCCUGGUAGUCC
RNAcentral lists this ribosomal RNA (451 nucleotides) under uncultured bacterium. Its description in RNAcentral is "partial 16S ribosomal RNA". It matches the Rfam family "Bacterial small subunit ribosomal RNA", at positions 354 to 796 of the family's 1533-position model. The record is from RNAcentral.